RNAcentral lists this ribosomal RNA (456 nucleotides) under uncultured bacterium. RNAcentral describes it as "bacterial SSU rRNA". It matches the Rfam family "Bacterial small subunit ribosomal RNA", at positions 28 to 499 of the family's 1533-position model. The record is from RNAcentral.
GACGAACGCUGGCGGCGUGCCUAACACAUGCAAGUCGAGCGAAUGAAGUUCCUUCGGGAAUGGAUUUAGCGGCGGACGGGUGAGUAACACGUGGGCAACCUGCCUCAUAGAGGGGAAUAGCCUCCCGAAAGGGAGAUUAAUACCGCAUAAGAUUGUAGUACCGCAUGAUACAGCAAUUAAAGGAGCAAUCCGCUAUGAGAUGGGCCCGCGGCGCAUUAGCUAGUUGGUGAGGUAAUGGCUCACCAAGGCGACGAUGCGUAGCCGACCUGAGAGGGUGAUCGGCCACAUUGGGACUGAGACACGGCCCAGACUCCUACGGGAGGCAGCAGUGGGGAAUAUUGCACAAUGGGGGAAACCCUGAUGCAGCAACGCCGCGUGAGUGAUGACGGCCUUCGGGUUGUAAAGCUCUGUCUUCAGGGACGAUAAUGACGGUACCUGAGGAGGAAGCCACGGCUA